ACAAGGUUAGCCCUUCAUCCCCCACUGUAGCUGGAAACCCAAGUCUACACAUGAGUUUAGUCCAUUAGCUGGAACCCUAAGCUAUACGCAACCAGGCCUCCUGCUAUUCUCACCACAUGUGUCACCAUUAUCUACUUGAGACUCGGUGACCAUUAGAAUGUUAGGAUGAACGUCAACUUAGCAUAAUCAUAUUCAUACUAUUACCACAUUGAAACCAACCACUGAG
RNAcentral lists this long non-coding RNA (226 nucleotides) under Vigna radiata. RNAcentral describes it as "long non-coding RNA (VRAD_LNC009499)". Lineage: Eukaryota; Viridiplantae; Streptophyta; Magnoliopsida; Fabales; Fabaceae. The record is from RNAcentral.